AUCAGAUGUCACAUCUCCAGCCUCAGGAUGAUGAACACACUCACUCUUCUGCUGGUUGCUCUCUCUCUGCCCUGUUGUACAGGUCAGAGUAUGGAGUCCAUUCCUUCCAGUUCAGUAGUGAAAAAGCCUGGGGAGACUCUCAGUCUCUCCUGCAGGGGAUCUGGCUUCACAUUUAGCUGCUGCAGCAUGUACUGGAUCAGACAACCUGCAGGAGAAGCACUGGAAUGGAUAGGCCGUAUUUACAGUGAUGCUAGUAGAACAGAUUAUGCCAGCAGUGUGCAAGGACGAGUAGAGGUCACCAGAGAUAACAGCAACAGCAUGGUGUAUCUGAGACUGUCCAACUUAAAGCCAGAGGACUCUGCUGUGUAUUACUGUGCGAAACACACACUGGUUAAAGGAAGCAGAGAGGCUUGA
Molecule: non-coding RNA, 414 nt
Organism: Sander lucioperca (pikeperch)
Lineage: Eukaryota; Metazoa; Chordata; Actinopteri; Perciformes; Percidae
Source: the annotation of a RefSeq genome assembly